UACGUAGGGUGCGAGCGUUGUCCGGAAUUAUUGGGCGUAAAGAGCUUGUAGGCGGUUUGUCGCGUCUGCUGUGAAAAUCCGAGGCUCAACCUCGGACUUGCAGUGGGUACGGGCAGACUAGAGUGUGGUAGGGGAGACUGGAAUUCCUGGUGUAGCGGUGGAAUGCGUAGAUAUCCGGAAGAACACCGGAGGCGAAGGCGGCUUGCUGGACCUGGUCUGACGCUGAGGUGCGAAAGCGUGGGGAGCAAACAGG
This 253-nucleotide ribosomal RNA is filed under the name uncultured bacterium. RNAcentral describes it as "partial 16S ribosomal RNA". It matches the Rfam family "Bacterial small subunit ribosomal RNA", at positions 524 to 776 of the family's 1533-position model. The record is from RNAcentral.